Small nuclear RNA from Chrysolophus pictus (golden pheasant), 150 nucleotides. Its record names the gene U1. It matches the Rfam family "U1 spliceosomal RNA". Rfam says of the family: U1 is a small nuclear RNA (snRNA) component of the spliceosome (involved in pre-mRNA splicing). Its 5' end forms complementary base pairs with the 5' splice junction, thus defining the 5' donor site of an intron. The record is from Ensembl. Lineage: Eukaryota; Metazoa; Chordata; Aves; Galliformes; Phasianidae.
UGUCUUACAUGGUAGGAGAGAUAACACGAACAAGAAGGUGAUUUUCUCGGGAUGAGGUUAAUUCUUUGGAAGCUUGCUGUGCUGACCCCUGCAGUUUCCCUAAAUGCAGAAAACUCAACUGCAUAAUUUGAGGCAUUUUUGUAAGAAAAU